CGGCGAGUGAAGCGGCAACAGCUCAAAUUUGAAAUCUGGCCCCUAGGGCCCGAGUUGUAAUUUGUAGAGGAUGCUUUUGGUGAGGUGCCGCCCGAGUUCCCUGGAACGGGACGCCACAGAGGGUGAGAGCCCCGUCUGGCUGGCCACCGAGCCUCUGUAAAGCUCCUUCGACGAGUCGAGUAGUUUGGGAAUGCUGCUCAAAAUGGGAGGUAUAUGUCUUCUAAAGCUAAAUAUUGGCCAGAGACCGAUAGCGCACAAGUAGAGUGAUCGAAAGAUGAAAAGCACCUUGAAAAGAGGGUUAAACAGUACGUGAAAUUGUUGAAAGGGAAGCGCUUGUGACCAGACUUGGGCGCGGCGGAUCAUCCGGGGUUCUCCCCGGUGCACUUCGCCGCGUUCAGGCCAGCAUCAGUUCGGCGCGGGGGAAAAAGGCUUCGGGAACGUGGCUGCUCCGGCAGUGUUAUAGCCCGUUGCAUAAUACCCUGCGCUGGACUGAGGACCGCGCAUCUGCAAGGAUGCUGGCGUAAUGGUCACCAGCGACCCGUCUUGAAACACGGACCAAGGAGUCGUCUUCGUAUGCGAGUGUUCGGGUGUCAAACCCCUACGCGUAAUGAAAGUGAACGCAGGUGAGAGCUUCGGCGCAUCAUCGACCGAUCCUGAUGUUCUCGGAUGGAUUUGAGUAAGAGCAUACGGGGCCGGACCCGAAAGAAGGUGAACUAUGCCUGUAUAGGGUGAAGCCAGAGGAAACUCUGGUGGAGGCUCGCAGCGGUUCUGACGUGCAAAUCGAUCGUCAAAUAUGGGCAUGGGGGCGAAAGACUAAUCGAACCUUCUAG
Molecule: ribosomal RNA, 830 nt
Filed under: Trichoderma sp.
Lineage: Eukaryota; Fungi; Ascomycota; Sordariomycetes; Hypocreales; Hypocreaceae
Description: partial large subunit ribosomal RNA
Rfam family: Eukaryotic large subunit ribosomal RNA
Source: RNAcentral